This is a long non-coding RNA of Siniperca chuatsi (mandarin fish), 487 nucleotides long. RefSeq lists it as uncharacterized. The record is from RefSeq and is a predicted model, not a curated record. The transcript is spliced from 2 exons. NCBI's taxonomy places the organism in Eukaryota, Metazoa, Chordata, Actinopteri, Centrarchiformes, Sinipercidae.
GACAGGACACAGUUAAAAAGGCCUUUUCUUCUGUUACUCGUCUAUGUCACUAUGUAACAAGGGUUAGAGUACAGCCGACCAAUCAGAGCAGACUGGGCUUUUUAGGGCGCGAAAACGGAGCGUCUCAGACAGACGGGGUACUGCAGCAACGGACACCAUCUUUAAACUGGACUUUAACGCACGUAAACCUUUUCUAGCAAGACCCCCAAAUAAAGGGACAGGUGAGGAAACAGGUGGAGAGAGGUGAGGGGACAGGUGAGUGGACAGGUGGAGACAGUAAGGGGACAGGUGAGUGGACAGGUGAAGACGGUGAGGGGACAGGUGAGGGGACAGGUGAGUGGACAGGUGGAGACAGUAAGGGGACAGGUGAGGGGACAGGUGGAGACAGUGAGGCGACAGGUGGAGACGGUGAGUGGACAGGUGAGGGGACAGGUGGAGACAGGUGAGUGGAUAGGUGGAGACAGUGAGGGGACAGGUGGGGGGACAG